UACUCCUACGGGAGGCAGCAGGGGGGAAUAUUGGGCAAUGGGCGAAAGCCUGACCCAGCAACGCCGCGUGAAGGAAGAAGGCCUUCGGGUUGUAAACUUCUUUUAUGAGGGACGAAGAAAGUGACGGUACCUCAUGAAUAAGCCACGGCUAACUACGUGCCAGCAGCCGCGGUAAUA
Molecule: ribosomal RNA, 177 nt
Filed under: Kurthia huakuii
Lineage: Bacteria; Bacillati; Bacillota; Bacilli; Caryophanales; Caryophanaceae
Description: partial 16S ribosomal RNA
Rfam family: Bacterial small subunit ribosomal RNA
Source: RNAcentral